RNAcentral lists this ribosomal RNA (253 nucleotides) under uncultured bacterium. Its description in RNAcentral is "partial 16S ribosomal RNA". It matches the Rfam family "Bacterial small subunit ribosomal RNA", at positions 524 to 776 of the family's 1533-position model. The record is from RNAcentral.
UACGUAGGGUGCGAGCGUUCAUCGGAAUUACUGGGCGUAAAGCGUGCGCAGGCGGUUUUGUAAGCCAGAUGUGAAAUCCCCGGGCUUAACCUGGGAAUGGCAUUUGGGACUGCAAGGCUGGAGUUUGGCAGAGGAGACUGGAAUUCCCGGUGUAGCAGUGAAAUGCGUAGAUAUCGGGAGGAAUACCGAUGGCGAAGGCAGGUCUCUGGGCUAUAACUGACGCUCAUGCACGAAAGCGUGGGGAGCAAACAGG